This 201-nucleotide ribosomal RNA is filed under the name uncultured bacterium. Its description in RNAcentral is "partial 16S ribosomal RNA". It matches the Rfam family "Bacterial small subunit ribosomal RNA", at positions 524 to 724 of the family's 1533-position model. The record is from RNAcentral.
UACGGGGGGGGCAAGCGUUGUUCGGAAUUACUGGGCGUAAAGGGCUCGUAGGCGGCCAACUAAGUCGGAUGUGAAAUCCCCAGGCUUAACCUGGGAACUGCAUCCGAUACUGGAUGGCUUGAAUCCGGGAGAGGGAUGCGGAAUUCCAGGUGUAGCGGUGAAAUGCGUAGAUAUCUGGAGGAACACCGGUGGCGAAGGCGG